Non-coding RNA from Paramuricea clavata, 1040 nucleotides. NCBI's taxonomy places the organism in Eukaryota, Metazoa, Cnidaria, Anthozoa, Malacalcyonacea, Plexauridae. The record is from the annotation of a GenBank genome assembly.
UUUUGUUCGUUUAUUUAAUAAUAUAGACAUUUCAAAAUUCAAAUGUUUCAAUUCAAUCAAAACACGAAACGCCUGCGAACAGGCUAUGAUGUUUACAAUAUCCAAUCAGAACACGUAGUCUAUCGAACCUAUAGUCAGCAACCAAUCAACUUCUAGGUUCCAAUUUUGAAAGUUAUUUGUGGAAUGUGACCCCAAAAACCCAGCCAAUUUCACCAGAGGGUUAUUCAAAACAGGCGAAAAUAAAUACCCUCUGGUUCCAGGGUAAUUGCACUCAAGCUGCCAAGAAAUAACAAUUAUUUUUGUUACCAAAGAAAAUGGUAUCAAAGCAUAUCCCUCAUUAUAUUAAAAUGAUACUGGAUAACUGAUCCCAUAACAGUAAUUAAAUAUUAUUGUAAUUAUUAAACAUUUUGUUUGUAUUUGUGAGUUAAUAGCUUGUUUGGACUAUUGCACAUGGUGAGUUAUUGCUUAUUUGGACUAUUGCACUCAGUAAAAUUAGCUUUGAAACAGCGCCUAAUACACUUGUCAUCGGAAACACGCACCCCUCCACCCCAGGGGAAACAUGGGCAUAAAUAGACUUUUUUAGAAACUAAUGAAAGAAAAAGCCCCACACAUAGGGGCAAGCAAAACAGGCCAAAGCCACUUCUAGAAUAACACAUUUAGUAAAAGUUUCAAACAUGGAAUAUUUAAAGUAGAAUGAUGAAUAACUUUAAACAUAGAACACUAACAUGGCUUCUUGUGCAAAAACAUCAGUCGUCCAUUCGACAAUAGGCUACCCAUAGGAUUAUGGGUAGCCCACAUGUAAUCAUGCCUAAUCUUGUCCUCAAACUACACCUCCCACCCACCCAUGUUUCCCCGGGGUGGGUGUGUGGGUGGUGGUGGUGGGGGUGGUCCGAUGACAAGUGCAUAAUACAUAUAGCAGAUUUAUGACAGACAAGGUGCUUGCUACAAAGACAAUUUCUUGAGUUUAAGAGUCCAAAUAAGUAAUAACACAACAUGCACAUUCAAAGUUGAAGGUUUUGAAAAGAAAUUAAAUUACUGGC